This 570-nucleotide ribosomal RNA is filed under the name uncultured marine eukaryote. RNAcentral describes it as "SSU rRNA". It matches the Rfam family "Eukaryotic small subunit ribosomal RNA", at positions 618 to 1192 of the family's 1831-position model. The record is from RNAcentral.
GUUAAAAAGCUCGUAGUCAGAUUUUGGCACCAUGCCGAACUGUCUGCCGAUUGGUAAGUACGGUUUGGCGGGUGCUUCCUUCCGGAAGCCCGCGUUCUUCUUCACUGAAGGGCGCGGUGAGUCCGGAUCAUUUACUUUGAAAAAAUUAGAGUGUUCAAAGCAGGCCUAUGCUCUGAAUAGGUUAGCAUGGAAUAAUAGAAUAGGACUUCGGUACUAUUUUGUUGGUCUCUAGGACCGAAGUAAUGAUUAAUAGGGACAGUUGGGGGCAUUCAUAUUCCAUUGUCAGAGGUGAAAUUCUUGGAUUAACGGAAGAUGAACUACUGCGAAAGCAUCUGCCAAGGAUGUUUUCAUUGAUCAAGAACGAAAGUUAGGGGAUCGAAGACGAUCAGAUACCGUCGUAGUCUUAACCAUAAACUAUGCCGACUAGGGAUGUGCAGGCGCUAAUUUUAUGGCCCUGCAUGCACCUUAUGAGAAAUCAAAGUCUUUGGGUUCCGGGGGGAGUAUGGUCGCAAGACUGAAACUUAAAGGAAUUGACGGAAGGGCACCACCAGGAGUGGAGCCUGCGGCUUA